RNAcentral lists this unclassified non-coding RNA (329 nucleotides) under Hevea brasiliensis (rubber tree). Lineage: Eukaryota; Viridiplantae; Streptophyta; Magnoliopsida; Malpighiales; Euphorbiaceae. The record is from RNAcentral.
AUGCUGGUUUCACUCCUAGCUUGACUACAUAUAACAGUUUGAUGUAUAUGUACAGCCGGUCUAGCAAUUACGAGAAAUCAGAGCAACUGCUAAUGGAAAUUAUAGCAAAAGGAGUCCGGCCUGAUGUUAUUUCAUACAACACAGUAAUAUAUGCUUAUUGUAGAAACGGGCGGAUGAGAGAUGCCUCACGAAUCUUUACAGAAAUGAAGGAAUCUGGAAUUGUUCCUGAUGUGAUCACAUAUAAUACCUUCGUUUCAAGGUAUGCAGCUGAUGCCAUGUUUAUUGAUGCCAUUGAAGUGGUUCGCUACAUGAUCAAACAAGGUUGUAAG